Maniola jurtina (meadow brown) is the source of this 75-nucleotide long non-coding RNA. RefSeq lists it as uncharacterized. The record is from RefSeq and is a predicted model, not a curated record. NCBI's taxonomy places the organism in Eukaryota, Metazoa, Arthropoda, Insecta, Lepidoptera, Nymphalidae. The transcript is spliced from 4 exons.
CCCUAUCUCACCCACUGAGUGGUUGAAUUUUCAAAAUUUCUUUUUUAGGGGAUGUCUAAGUCAUAAUAGCUAACU